Loxodonta africana (African savanna elephant) is the source of this 5373-nucleotide long non-coding RNA. RefSeq lists it as uncharacterized. The transcript is spliced from 3 exons. The record is from RefSeq and is a predicted model, not a curated record. NCBI's taxonomy places the organism in Eukaryota, Metazoa, Chordata, Mammalia, Proboscidea, Elephantidae.
ACUGGGUGCAGAAGAGAAGUGGGUGUGUCUAAAAAGGGCAACAAGAGAGAUCCUUGUGGUGAUGGAUGGGUUUUUUAUCCUGACUGUAUCAAUGUUAAUAUCCAGGUUGUGAUAUCGUACUGUAGUUUGGCCAGAUGUGACCACUGGGAAACUAGGUGAAGUGUACAUGUCACCUCUUUGUAUUAUUUCUGCAUGUGAAUCUACAAUUAUCUCAAAAUAAAAAGUAUAAUUUUUAAAAGGCAAAAAAUUAUUUUCAGAACAUCAUUUUUCAUAAUCAUUAAGGUCUUCCAUUUUAUUUGAAAAACAUUGUGGAAUGACAUCAAGAACAUGAUGCAUGAAGAAAGCAAGAGGUCAUCAAAAAGACGGGGAAGAAAGAAAAGACCAAAAUGGAUGUCAGAAAAGACUCUGAAACUUGCUCUUGAAUGUAUAGUAGCUAAUGUGAACAAAAGAAAUGAGGAAGUAAAAGAGCUGAACAGAAGGUUUCAAAGGGUGCCUUGAGAAGACAAAGUAUUAUAAUGACAUGCAAAGAUCUGGAGUUAGAAAACCAAAAGGGAAGAACACGCUUGACAUUUCUCAAGCUGAAAAGACUGAAGAAAAAAUUCAAGCCUUGAGCUGCAAUAGUGAAGGAUUCUAUGAGCAAAAUACUGAAUGACUCAGAAAGCACCAAAAGAAGAUGGAAGGAAUACACAGAGUCACUGUACCAAAAAUAAUUGGUCAACAUUCAGUCAUUUCAGGAGGUAGCAUAUGAUCAAGAAUCGAUGGUAUUGACAGAGGUCCGAGCUGCACUGAAGACAUUGAAGAAAAACCAGUUGAGAUGUUUUAACAAAAAGAUGCAGCCCUGGAAGUGCUCAGUCGUCUAAGCCAAGAAAUUUGGAAGACAGAUGCCUGGCCAACAGACUGAAAGAGUUUCAUAUUUAUGCCUAUUCCAAAGAAAGUAAUCCAAAUGAAUGCAGAAAUUAUCGAACAACAUCAUUGAUAUCACACUUAAGUAAAAUCUUGCUGAAGAUCAUAAAAGCUGUUGCAGCAGCACAUCAACAGGAACUGCCAGAAAUUCAAACAGGAUUCAGAAAAGGACGUGGAAUGAGGAAUAUCAUUGCUGAUGUCUGCUGGAUCCUGGCUGAAAGCAGAGGAUAUCAGAAAAGUGUUUACCUGUGUUUUAUUGACUAUUCAAAGGUAUGUGCUCUAUGGAUCAUAACAAAUUAUAGAUAAUAUUGCGAAGAAUGGGAAUUCCAGAACACUUAAUUGUGCUCAUGAGGAAUUUGUACAUAGAUCAAGAGGCAGUUGUUCAAACACAAGGGGAUACUGCAUGGUUUAAAGUCAGGAAAGGUGUGCAUCAGGGUUGUAUCCUUUCACCCUACUUAUUCAAUCUGUAUGCUGAGCAAAUAAUCUGAGAAGCUGGACUAUAUGAAGAAGAACAGGGCAUCAGGAUUGGAGGAAGACUCAUUAACAAUCUGUGAUAUGCAGAUGGCACAACCUUGCUUGCUGAAAGUACAGAGGACUUGAAGCACUUACUGAUGAAGAUGAAAGAUUACACCCUUCAGUAUGGAUUACACCUCAAUAUAAAGGAAACAAAAAUCCUCACAACUUGGCCAAUAAGCUACAUCGUGAUAAAUGGAGAAGAGACUGACGUUGUCAAGGAUUUCAUUUUACUUGAAUCCAUAAUCAACACCCAUGGAAGCAGCAGUCAAGAAACCAAAAGACACAUUGCAUUGGGCAAAUGUGCUGCAAAAGACCUUCGUAAAGUGUUAAAAAACAAAGAUGUCACUUUAAGGACUAAGGUGCACUUGACCCAAGCCAUGGUGUGUUCAACUGCCUUACAUGCAUAUGAAAGCUGGACUGACAAUGAAUAAGGAAGACUGAAGAAGAACUGAUGCCUCUGAAUUACAGUGUUGGCAAAGAACAUUGAAUAUACCAUGGACUUCCAAAAGAAUGAACAAAUCUGUCUUGGAAGAAGUAUGGCCAGAAUGCCCCUUAGAAGCGAGGGUGAUGAGAUUUCAUCUCAGGUACUUUGGACUUGUUAUCAGAAGGGAUCAGUCCCUGGAAAAGGACACCAUGCUUGGUAAAGCAGAGGGUCAGCGAAAAAGAGGAAGACCCCCAACGAGAUGGAUGGACACGAUUAGUUUCCCUAUCAAGUUGGCUCAGACAGAUUUGCAUGCAAAAGCUUUACUGGGAUUCAAUAUCUGAAAAGAAGUAAGCCACCAUCCAUCUGCCAGUGGAGGCUUGCUUGCUGCUAUGAUGCUGAACAGGCUUCGGUGGAGCUUCCAGACUAAGACAGACAAGAAAGAAAGGCCUGGCAAGCUACUUCCAAAAAUCAGACAGCGAAAACCUUAUGGAUCACCAUGGCCUGAUCUCUAACAGGUCAUAGAGAUGGUGCAGGACUGGGCAGGAUUCUGUUAUACAUGGGGUCGCCAUGAGUUGGAUGGCAGCUAUCAACAAUAAAGAAGUAAGGGAAGCAGGAUUGGGCAGAGGAAGCUGUUGAACUGUGAUGCAGUCACAACAAAGACAUUACUACAGGGAGCUCUGGGGCUGAGAUAUCCUGAAUUGAGGCAAGGGGGCCAGGCCUUUAUACCCCACAUAGAUUGAAGGAUCUCCCCAGAGAGAGGGUGUGCCCUUGGCCAAGUCAGCUCCUUCCACCCAAACCAAACCCACUGCCGUCAAGUCGAUUUCAACUGAUAGUGACCCCCAAAGAGUUUCCAGGGCUGUAAAUCUCUAUGGAAGAAGACUGCCACAUCUUUCUCCCUCAGAGCCAGCCGGUGGUGUUUCCAACCACCAACUUUUGGUUAGCUGUUGAUUGCUUUAACCACUGUGCCGCUCCCCUCAGUCAAGGGCCAUUUCUACAGAGGGACUCAGCUGUGAGCCAGCAGCAGCCUACAUUCUCAACAGAUCCUCUGAGGUCCUGAGGUGAAGCUGUCAUUCUCUCCUGGUCUGAGCCAAAUGAACACGCCUUUCUCAGCAUCUACCACCCUCAGACCAUUCACCUGUACAUGUCUGCCUCCCUUUACCUGGUGUUCGCCUCAAAGAUGGGAACCCAUCUGUACAUCCCCAUGCCUAGCCUAAUGCUUGGUAAAUAGGACACUCGAUAAGGGUUUGUGAAAUGAAUGAAUAAAUGAACAAGCUUGAUUUAUUUUUCUGCUCUGCAGAAACAACAAUACAGAAAACACAUUUGAUGAAAUGAGGAUAACUCAAUUUAGCGCUUGCCUUUAUGUGUGCUUACUAUCAGUGCUUAACAAUGCCUGGUUGAUUUCAACUAACUGGCACAGCAUAAACAGGCUAUUUUCAAACAAUCAACUGUAUCUUACAGGUUUCCUAAAUAAAAGAAAAUCAAUCAUAGAAUUUGAAUGCAAAUUAAAAAGGAAAUUAAAAUGUAAGACAUGAAACAGCUAUUUGAUCAGCUGUUACAAUUGGCUGUGGACAGGCUAUAUUCGUGCCUUAUCUAGAUGGUGAGAAAAAAAUUAAUCAUAGAAAAUGGUUGGUUACAGGGCUAUUUUCUUUUCCACACUGAAAUCACAACAGAAUUAUCUAAUUAAUGAUGCCAAACUUCUAGAAGCACAAGAUAAAUGGUAUCCAAUAAAUUGAAAAGUACUAUAAUAAAUAUUUGCCCCUAGAAAAUAAUUCUAAGCAUAAAGGAUAAAUUGCAAAACUGGUUUGUAGAGAGCAAAUUUAUUUGCCACCACUAAAAUUUUAAAAAACUAAAAACAUUUGUAAUUUCUAGUAUCUGCAACACCUUUAAUUACAACUAUGAACUGGUAAAGCAUCUUGGUUUUCUGUCUACUGUGCCAGAGAGGGAGAAAAAUGUUGGCUUCCUAAGAAGCCCAUUAUGAAAAUUCCACCAUAAAAUAAAGUGAUAGAACUUUCUUUGGGUAGGAUCUGUAGGAUGUCCCCACUUAUAUUCAUAAUAUUGGGAACUUAUGUCUUCUCUUUUCUUCUUUUUUUUCUUGAUUAGUCUAGCUAGAAACUUGUCCAUUUUUUUGAUACUGUCAACAAACCAGCUUUUGGUUUUACUGAUUUUAUUUAAUGUUUGCCUGUUUUUCAUACCAUUGAUUUCCACUCUUUAUUAUUUCUUUCCUUCUAUUUAUUUAUUUUUUUUAAGUAUAUCUACUCUUCUUUUUCUUUUGUUUUUGGUUUACUCUUCUUUUUCUAGCUCCUUAAGGUGGAAGCUUAGUCCAUCAAAAUUAUACUUUGGUUCUUUUUUUUCAAUUUUUUUAUUUUGGUGAAAGUAUACAUAGUCAAAGAUACACAAUUUCAACAAUUUUUACACGUACAAUUCAGCAACAUUGAUUACACUCUUCAAGUUGUGCUACCAUUCUCACUAUUCUUUUCCAAAUUAUUCCACCACCAUUAUCUUAAACUCACUGCCCCCUAAGAAUUCUGUCCAGCAAUAGGAGAUGGGUUAAAUAAAUUAUAAUACAACCAUAUAUUAUAAAGUUUUCAAGAUUGUAUGGGAGAAGAACAUUUAAGACAUGGCUAAAUAUUCAUAAUAUAUUAUUAUUUAUUUUAAAAGGGCUAGCAAUGAGUAUGGAAAAUACACCACGCGGUUUGUGAAAACAAAAUAUAGUAACAGAGGUUAGUUUUUUGUGGGGUUCAAUUAUGGGUUAUUUGAACUUUCUUUUUGUCCUUCUCUGUAAUUUAUAAAUUUUCACAAUAAGUAUGUAUUAUUUCUGUAACUCACGUUAUUAAAAAAUAUUCCCACUUCUCAAAAAAAACUCCUCAACUGAAAGUCACCAAGAAGGAAUGUGACUGCAUCUUUCAUUUAUCAAUGGCCUUUCUUUUUAAAAAAAAGUUUUUAGAGGGAAUUUUGGUUAUUAAUUAAUUUGGCUAUUAAUUCUCCACUUUAAUCUUUAAUUUUAUCUUUAAAAGAUGCUUUAUUGGAUAACAACAGUAGCGUUCUUCCAAAGAGCAUGUUGCUUUAAUGUAGAAAACUGGAAAAUAACCUGAAGAAUUGAGAUAUAAUUAAAGACCAUUUUUUUUAAUUUCUAUUUAGUUAUUUUGUUGUUCUUAUUGAGAAUAAACAGCAAAACGUACACCAAUUCAACAGUUUCUACAUGGACAAUUCAAUGACACUGAUUAUAAUUAAAGACAAGAUAGAAAGACAACUAGGAUCACAGGAAUAAAAAGUAGUUCCAACUCUGUCAGAUGGGGUCAAGAUUCCAAAUUCUAUGUAAAAUAAUCCUUAGAAAUGUUCGAAAAAAUGUAGAAGAAAAUUCGAAUUCAUAAAAAAGACCAGGCUUACUGGUCUGAGAGAGACUGGAGGAACCUCUGAGACUAUUGUCCUGAGACACCCUUCUAACGUAGAACUGAGGCCGCUCCUGCUCCCGGGGGCCACUUUUCAGCCAAACAAUAGGCGGGGCUAUAAAAUACACAAACAAUAACACC